This 460-nucleotide ribosomal RNA is filed under the name uncultured bacterium. RNAcentral describes it as "partial 16S ribosomal RNA". It matches the Rfam family "Bacterial small subunit ribosomal RNA", at positions 338 to 795 of the family's 1533-position model. The record is from RNAcentral.
CCUACGGGAGGCUGCAGUGAGGAAUAUUGGUCAAUGGGCGGGAGCCUGAACCAGCCAAGUCGCGUGAGGGAAGACGGUCCUAUGGAUUGUAAACCUCUUUAGGCGGGGAGCAAUGCCGGGCACGCGUGGCCGGAGGGAGGGUUCCCUCCGAAUAAGCAUCGGCUAACUCCGUGCCAGCAGCCGCGGUAAUACGGAGGAUGCGAGCGUUAUCCGGAUUUAGUGGGUUUUAAGGGUGCGUAGGCGGAUUUUUAAGUCAGCGGUAAAAUGUCCGGGCUCAACCCGGGCCUGCCGUUGAAACUGGGGAUCUUGAGUGGGCGAGAAGUAUGCGGAAUGCGUGGUGUAGCGGUGAAAUGCAUAGAUAUCACGCAGAACUCCGAUUGCGAAGGCAGCAUACCGGCGUGCGACUGACGCUGAGGCACGAAAGCGUGGGGAUCGAACAGGAUUAGAUACCCCGGUAGUC